RNAcentral lists this non-coding RNA (208 nucleotides) under Paraliobacillus sp. PM-2. RNAcentral describes it as "T-box". It matches the Rfam family "T-box leader". Rfam says of the family: Uncharged tRNA acts as the effector for transcription antitermination of genes in the T-box leader family. Lineage: Bacteria; Bacillati; Bacillota; Bacilli; Caryophanales; Bacillaceae. The record is from RNAcentral. RNAcentral also lists the same sequence under 1 other name.
AAAAAAGCGUUGAUAAACAGUAGUAUGUAACAGACCAUUUCAAGAGAGGAAUUUCCGUGGCUGUAAGAGGUUCUAAAUGAAGGGUUACAGAAGCUUGUUUGGAGUGCAGCUAAUCCCUGCCGGUUAAACACCGUUAUCGUUCUUAAGGUGAUGAAUCUGAUGGUUCAUAAUCAGGGUGGUACCGCGAUAGUCAACUCUCGUCCCUGCA